AGACUAACAUUGGGAGGCACGUGAAUCGGUUGCGGAAGCAUUCCUCCAAUGGCGUUCGCAGAUUGGUGAAGCUACUUGUGAGGAAGUGGAAGGAAAUUGUGGAUGAGUGGGUGAGGUUGAAUCAAUCGGGUGGAACAGCUUCUCUCAUGGCUGAUGGGGACUCUCCACAGCUGAAAAUCACCCAAAACGGGCAUCAUCAGAUGUAGGCGCCCCUUGAGUUGCUUUUUCCUCAAAAGAACGAGCAGCAAAUUGCUUUUUCCUCAGAUGAUGGUGAUAGAAAUGAUAAUGAUAGAGAUGACGGGGCUGAUAUUAAAAGAGAAGCUGGUAGUCAAGAGGGAACCCAGCAAGUUGCUGGAACAAAUGAAAAUGCAGCAGAUGGAUCUAACCCCCAGCCGAAGAAACUUGUUCCAAUUUUUCUUGCGUACUACUUGAAUAGCAUGAU
Long non-coding RNA from Arachis stenosperma, 442 nucleotides. RefSeq lists it as uncharacterized. NCBI's taxonomy places the organism in Eukaryota, Viridiplantae, Streptophyta, Magnoliopsida, Fabales, Fabaceae. The record is from RefSeq and is a predicted model, not a curated record. The transcript has 5 exons.